Molecule: long non-coding RNA, 443 nt
Organism: Lathyrus oleraceus (garden pea)
Lineage: Eukaryota; Viridiplantae; Streptophyta; Magnoliopsida; Fabales; Fabaceae
Exons: 3
Source: RefSeq, a predicted model, not a curated record
CACAGAAGUUCGUCUUCAUCGCCAUCGUCCUCCCCACCUCACGAACUCAACCUUCCCAAACUCACUCCUUCACUCUCUCUUCUCUCGGUAACAUUCAUCAACACUCACAAUCUCACUCACACCAAACUUCACAUUUCUCUCAAUCCCACUCUCGUUCUCAACGAACCCCUCUCAAUCACUCUCAGCUCUCACAAUAUUUUCAAUCAACAAGCAUAAAGAGAAAGAAAAAGAGGUCCUUACAAAGUGUCACUGCGGUGGUGGUGAAGGAUGCGAAGAAGCUGGCCUCCAGCUUAGGGUUUUGACUCGGUGCCCUUCUUCCAAAAGAGUAACUCUGUAACCUCCUUUCUGAUGUGCUCAGUUUGGAUGGGCUUCUUUGGUGCUAGGUUCGAAAGUGUGAAAAUGGUGAGCUUGGUUUGAUGCAUCCUCGUUCAUGUUUGGUAGGU